Long non-coding RNA from Oncorhynchus gorbuscha (pink salmon), 1444 nucleotides. RefSeq lists it as uncharacterized. Lineage: Eukaryota; Metazoa; Chordata; Actinopteri; Salmoniformes; Salmonidae. The record is from RefSeq and is a predicted model, not a curated record. The transcript is spliced from 2 exons.
GAUUUGUAAUUGUUUCUAUAAAUUCGUUCUUGUAUUUACUUAUUAGCACAAUAAAAAUGGACAUGGAUUCAAAUGUAAUAUAUUUUGAAUUAGUUAUCCACAUUGCAAUGUUUUUAAAAUGGCAGCUUUUAUUUUGAAGGAUUCUUUAUUACCAUACAAAUUGACGCCAUCUUUUAUGCUGCUGGCGGAACAGUGUGUCUCUGAUGUAACCUCGCGUCUCAAAGUAGCGGUCAUCUGAAUGAACAAGGAAGUAACAAGACCACUUAUUUACUGUGCGAGAUGGCCAUCAUUCGUAUGUUGUUCUCUUUCCUGAACAAUCCACGAGUCAUUGAGAAACUAGCGGAGUCUCGUCCUAUCCGACGUGCGGCACAGAUCACAGCUUUUGCGAUCAUCAAAGCACAAAUCGCUGGGAAGGUCGCGACGGCGAGGGUCCUAAAGUCAGACACGCUACGCCAGGUUCGGCAAGAGGCAAACGGACGGAUUCCCCGAGGAGCUGGUGACCUCGGCACCCGGUUCAGACGAGUGAGGGAGACUUUUGUCAAGGAGGUGAAAGAUGGCUUCAGAGACGCUCAGGGACAAAUAAAGAAAUGAAGAAAUUAAGCAGUAGUCUUAUGUCUGUAUGACAGACAAACGAUCUUGUGAACUAUUGAUAACGUGACCGACAACAUGACCCGUCCCACAACUGUCUAGGCCGACUACUAUUACAUCACUGAGCCAAUGUUUUAAUAUAUUGACGGGAACACUAAGCUACUGGUAAACCAGCUACUAUGUUUCAAAACAUACUCAAGAUUAAUUUUACCAUCAGGGAGAUAUCAUCAUGCAAUGAGUGUGGAGUGUUUUUCUGACUGGUUUAAAAACAAAUUUGCACCCCUGUAAUGAAUAUUGGGGUUUGUGGUAGAUGAGUAUUGUAACAUGUCUGGGUUUGUGGUGGAUGAGUCUACUGUAACAUGUCUGGGUUUGUGGUGGAUGAGUCUACUGCAACAUGUCUGGGUUUGUGGUGGAUGAGUCUACUGUAACAUGUCUGGGUUUGUGGUGGAUGAGUCUACUGUAACAUGUCUGAGUUUGUGGUGGAUGAGUCUACUGUAACAUGUCUGGGUUUGUGGUGGAUGAGUCUACUGUAACAUGUCUGGGUUUGUGGUGGAUGAGUCUACUGUAACAUGUCUGGGUUUGUGGUGGAUGAGUCUACUGUAACACGUCUACAUACUGGAAACAGAGAUUUGUUGCAAUCUACCCAGUAGUCUUUAUUCAGGAGUUUGUGUUUGUAGAUCUGACUUGCAGAAUACCAUCAUGUAGUAUGUUUGCUGUAAUGCAGCCCCACGUCAGUUCCCAUGACAUAUGACUUGAUGUUUGAAGGUGUGGAUCGUCCUCACCUAUUGGCCAAAUCUUAGUGUGCUUUUAAAUUAAAUGUCAUGUAUUUUACCUAUUAAAAAAAAUGACUAGACAA